Molecule: ribosomal RNA, 497 nt
Filed under: uncultured bacterium
Lineage: Bacteria
Description: partial 16S ribosomal RNA
Rfam family: Bacterial small subunit ribosomal RNA
Source: RNAcentral
GACGAACGCUGGCGGCGUGCCUAAUACAUGCAAGUUGAGCGCUGACGGUUGGUACUUGUACCGACUGGAUGAGCAGCGAACGGGUGAGUAACGCGUGGGGAAUCUGCCUUUGAGUGGGGGACAACAUUUGGAAACGAAUGCUAAUACCGCAUAAUACCAUUAAACACAAGAUUUAAGUUUGAAAGAUGCAUUUGCCUCACUCAAAGAUGAUUCCGCGUUGUAUUAGCUAGUUGGUGAGGUAAAGGCUCACCAAGGCGAUGAUACAUAGCCGACCUGAGAGGGUGGUCGGCCACAAUGGGACUGGGGCACGGCCCAAGCUCCUACGGGAGGGAGCAGGAGGGAAACUUCGGCAAUGGAGGGAAGGCUGACCGAGCAACGCCGCGGGAGGGAAGAAGGGUUUCGGAUCGGAAAACUCGGUUGGUAGAGAAGAACGUUGGGGAGAGUGGAAAGCUCAUGAAGUGACGGUAACUACACAGAAAGGGACGGCUAACUACGUG